This 253-nucleotide ribosomal RNA is filed under the name uncultured bacterium. RNAcentral describes it as "partial 16S ribosomal RNA". It matches the Rfam family "Bacterial small subunit ribosomal RNA", at positions 524 to 776 of the family's 1533-position model. The record is from RNAcentral.
UACGGGGGGGGCAAGCGUUGUUCGGAAUUACUGGGCGUAAAGGGCUCGUAGGCGGCCAACUAAGUCAUACGUGAAAUCCCUCGGCUUAACCGGGGAACUGCGUCUGAUACUGGAUGGCUUGAGAUUGGGAGAGGGAUGCGGAAUUCCAGGUGUGGCGGUGAAAUGCGUAGAUAUCUGGAGGAACACCGGUGGCGAAGGCGGCAUCCUGGACCAACACUGACGCUGAGGAGCGAAAGCCAGGGGAGCAAACGGG